UACGUAGGGGGCAAGCGUUGUCCGGAUUCAUUGGGCGUAAAGAGCGUGUAGGCGGCCAGGUAGGUCGGUUGUGAAAACUGGAGGCUCAACCUUCAGAGGUCGACCGAAACCAUCUGGCUAGAGUCCGGGAGAGGAGAGUGGAAUUCCGAGUGUAGAGGUGAAAUUCGUAGAUAUUCGGAAGAACACCAGUGGCGAAGGCGGCUCACUGGACCGGCAUUGACGCUGAGGUGCGAAAGCGUGGGGAGCAAACAGG
This 253-nucleotide ribosomal RNA is filed under the name uncultured bacterium. Its description in RNAcentral is "partial 16S ribosomal RNA". It matches the Rfam family "Bacterial small subunit ribosomal RNA", at positions 524 to 776 of the family's 1533-position model. The record is from RNAcentral.